Molecule: ribosomal RNA, 406 nt
Filed under: uncultured bacterium
Lineage: Bacteria
Description: partial 16S ribosomal RNA
Rfam family: Bacterial small subunit ribosomal RNA
Source: RNAcentral
AUUGAACGCUGGCGGCAGGCCUAACACAUGCAAGUCGAACGAGUGGCGGACGGGUGAGUAAUGUCUGGGAAACUGCCUGAUGGCGGGGGAUAACUACUGGAAACGGUAGCUAAUACCGCAUACCAUCAGAUGUGCCCAGAUGGGAUUAGCUUGUUGGUGGGGUAACGGCUCACCAAGGCGACGAUCCCUAGCUGGUCUGAGAGGAUGACCAGCCAAACUGGAGCUGAGACACGGACCAGAGUCCUAGAGGAGGCGGCAUUGGGGAAUAUUGCACGAUGGGCGCAAGCCAGCUGCAGCCAUGCCGCGUGUAUGAAGAAGGCCUUCGGGUUGUAAAGUACUUUCAGCGGGGAGGCGUUACCCGCAGAAGAAGCACCGGCUAACGCCGUUCCAGCAGCCGCGGUAAUAC